RNAcentral lists this ribosomal RNA (446 nucleotides) under Hordeum muticum. The record is from RNAcentral. Lineage: Eukaryota; Viridiplantae; Streptophyta; Magnoliopsida; Poales; Poaceae.
UUUUUAAUAUAUUUUUGCUCCACGCGAGAAAAAUGCGUACGUGCGCGGAAUAUAUUAAGCACGGUUCCUUAUUUCCGACUUCUCGUGCUGAUCAGUUUGAUAUAUCAUACGGUUUUUUUCGACAUCGUAUGCAAAAGUUAUAGCCGUUUUACUUUUUCAUAACACUUUUUUGCAAAACAUGUCAAAAUUUAUGUUUUUGAAUUUUCCUAACUAAUAGAUGUAGUAACAUAAAUACACCUCGAAGGAUUUUAAUUUUCGAAGUUUUUAUCAUUUUCUUUUCUUUUUUUCAAAACUAAAAUGGCGAUAGGGGGGGGCAGCAUAAUGAACGAAGGCGGGGGUAACAUGUCGGAUGCGAUCAUACCAGCGCUAAAGCACCGGAUCCCAUCAGAACUACGAGAGUAGUACUAGGAUGGGUGACCUCCUGGGAAGUCCUCGUGUUGCAUUCC